CAGCAAUGCCUGAGACCGGCGCACGGGUGCGUAACGCGUAUGCAAUCUACCUUGUACAGGGGAAUAGCCCAGAGAAAUUUGGAUUAAUGCCCCAUAGUAUAUUUGAGUGGCAUCAUUUAAAUAUUAAAGUUGAGGCGGUACAAGAUGAGCAUGCGUCCCAUUAGCUAGUUGGUAUGGUAACGGCAUACCAAGGCAAUGAUGGGUAGGGGUCCUGAGAGGGAGAUCCCCCACACUGGUACUGAGACACGGACCAGACUCC
RNAcentral lists this ribosomal RNA (259 nucleotides) under unidentified marine bacterioplankton. RNAcentral's name for it is "partial 16S ribosomal RNA". It matches the Rfam family "Bacterial small subunit ribosomal RNA", at positions 77 to 339 of the family's 1533-position model. The record is from RNAcentral.